UACGUAGGUGGCAAGCGUUAUCCGGAAUUAUUGGGCGUAAAGAGCGCGCAGGUGGUUGAUUAAGUCUGAUGUGAAAGCCCACGGCUUAACCGUGGAGGGUCAUUGGAAACUGGUCGACUUGAGUGCAGAAGAGGGAAGUGGAAUUCCAUGUGUAGCGGUGAAAUGCGUAGAGAUCAGGAGGAACACCAGUGGCGAAGGCGGCUUCCUGGUCUGUAACUGACACUGAGGCGCGAAAGCGUGGGGAGCAAACAGGAUUAGAUA
This 261-nucleotide ribosomal RNA is filed under the name uncultured prokaryote. RNAcentral's name for it is "partial 16S ribosomal RNA". It matches the Rfam family "Bacterial small subunit ribosomal RNA", at positions 524 to 784 of the family's 1533-position model. The record is from RNAcentral.